AGAAACUUAGGUUAACAGACCCAGAGCCUUCAAAGCUCUAAGUAGAAGUUAAAAUCUUCUAGUUUCUG
This 68-nucleotide transfer RNA is filed under the name Quasipaa shini (spiny-flanked frog). Its description in RNAcentral is "tRNA-Trp". It matches the Rfam family "tRNA". From Rfam's summary of the family: Transfer RNA (tRNA) molecules are approximately 80 nucleotides in length. Their secondary structure includes four short double-helical elements and three loops (D, anti-codon, and T loops). Further hydrogen bonds mediate the characteristic L-shaped molecular structure. tRNAs have two regions of fundamental functional importance: the anti-codon, which is responsible for specific mRNA codon recognition, and the 3' end, to which the tRNAs corresponding amino acid is attached (by aminoacyl-tRNA synthetases). tRNAs cope with the degeneracy of the genetic code in two manners: having more than one tRNA (with a specific anti-codon) for a particular amino acid; and 'wobble' base-pairing, i.e. permitting non-standard base-pairing at the 3rd anti-codon position. Lineage: Eukaryota; Metazoa; Chordata; Amphibia; Anura; Dicroglossidae. The record is from RNAcentral.